This 497-nucleotide ribosomal RNA is filed under the name uncultured bacterium. Its description in RNAcentral is "partial 16S ribosomal RNA". It matches the Rfam family "Bacterial small subunit ribosomal RNA", at positions 28 to 507 of the family's 1533-position model. The record is from RNAcentral.
GAUGAACGCUGGCGGCGUGCCUAAUACAUGCAAGUCGAGCGAACGGACGAGAACCUUUCUUCUCUGAUGUUAGCGGCGUACGUGUUAGUAACACGUGUAUAACCUCCCUAUAAGACUGGGAUAACUUCGUUAACCCGUACCUAAUACCGUAUGAUAUUUUGAACCGCAUGGUUCAAAAGUUAAAGACGGUCUUGCUGUCACUUAUAGAUGGAUCCGCGCUUCAUUAGCUAGUUGGUAAGGUAACGGCUUACCAAGGCAACGAUGCAUAGCCGACCUGAGAGGGUGAUCGGCCACACUGGAACUGAGACACGGUCCAGACUCCUACGGGAGGCAGCAGUAGGGAAUCUUCCGCAAUGGGCGAAAGCCUGACGGAGCAACGCCGCGUGAGUGAUGAAGGUCUUCGGAUCGUAAAACGCUGUUAUAAGGAAAGAAAAGACGUGUAAGAAAAUGUGAAGAUCAUGACGGUACCGAAUCAGAAAGCAACGGCUAACUACGUG